RNAcentral lists this long non-coding RNA (716 nucleotides) under Malus domestica (apple). Its description in RNAcentral is "long non-coding RNA (MDOM_LNC008606)". The record is from RNAcentral. Lineage: Eukaryota; Viridiplantae; Streptophyta; Magnoliopsida; Rosales; Rosaceae.
CCUAUGAUCAGGAACAUUUAGGAUGUGUCUACGAAAGAAUGGUCUCAUGAAUUUAACUUCUUUAGAUCGUAUUCUCCCAAUCACAUAUUCCUUGGACUUUAUCGUUUAAGCAUAUAACAUUUAUAUGAGACGGCUCAAACAAUAAUUUUUGCCCUUUAUAGUUAAACUAGAUUAGUUUAACAUGUGAAAUGUCCGUAAAGUAUCAUCAUAUGAUUGGCUUUAGGGCACAUUUCCAACAGCAUAUUCUCUUUGAUGCACCCAGUCUGACUUGAUUUCUCUUUAUACAUAUACAUAUAUUCUUCUUUCUAUUUUCGAGUAUCUCGGUUUAGUAAGUGAUUUUAAAUUUUCGGGACAAAAUUCUUUUAAGGGGGGGUAGAUUGUUAAAUCCCACCCCCGAAUUUAUUUGUAAUUUUAUAAUUUCCCAAAGUUUUAUUUAAAAUUUCAUUUUGGUCACCUAGCUUGACUAAAUCUGGACCCUUUAUCUAGAUUCCUAAACCCCCUUAAACUGCCACGUGGCAGCACCCUAUCUCUCUCUGUCCCCCCUUCCCCCGUGACUCCUUCUUCUACUUCUUUUUGUUUCUGCUUCUCUCCCUUCUCUCUCUCUCUCUUCUUUCCCUAUUUCACCGAGACACAUACACACACCCAAUUGCUUACCUGCAUGAGGAAGACAAUCAUCAUCACCAUAAAAAACUCAUUUUUCUCUCUCUUCCUCUCAU